ACAGUCUAUUUUUUCUUGUGUUUAUUUUUUGAAGCCUGUUUCUCCCCAGGAAGUUGAAUGUAUGAGUAAGAGUUUGAUAUUAUCUGCCCCUUGCUGUGGAAAAUGUCAAAGACAUGUCAUGACAAAUGCCACUGCUCUCCUGUUUCAUAGGCAGGAGCAUCAGUUGCCAGUCACACAAACUGGUGGUGUAUAUUACCAAGGAAGUACGGCUGGCUUUUACCCAAAUCCGUAUUUGUGGAAGAAAAAAUGCCUGUGCGUUCCUUUUGUGGCAGAAAUGAAAACCAAGAUCAAUGACUUACUCUUCUUAAGUCUUACGUGCAAGAACUUAACACCCCACUGA
This 340-nucleotide long non-coding RNA is filed under the name Anas platyrhynchos platyrhynchos (common mallard). Its description in RNAcentral is "lncRNA (ENSAPLG00000025479.1)". Lineage: Eukaryota; Metazoa; Chordata; Aves; Anseriformes; Anatidae. The record is from RNAcentral.